Molecule: transfer RNA, 72 nt
Filed under: Malassezia sympodialis ATCC 42132
Lineage: Eukaryota; Fungi; Basidiomycota; Malasseziomycetes; Malasseziales; Malasseziaceae
Description: tRNA-Glu (CTC) (tRNA-Glu-CTC-1 1 to 3)
Rfam family: tRNA
About the family: Transfer RNA (tRNA) molecules are approximately 80 nucleotides in length. Their secondary structure includes four short double-helical elements and three loops (D, anti-codon, and T loops).
Source: RNAcentral
UCCUAGUUAGUACAACGGUUAGUAUAUGUCGCUCUCACCGACAAGACCCGGGUUCGACUCCCGGAUUGGGAA